Long non-coding RNA from Felis catus (domestic cat), 2604 nucleotides. RefSeq lists it as uncharacterized. Lineage: Eukaryota; Metazoa; Chordata; Mammalia; Carnivora; Felidae. The record is from RefSeq and is a predicted model, not a curated record. The transcript has 3 exons.
UGCCCCUCUGCAGGAGGGUCUCACUGAGCAAUGGCUGAAUGUCGGCUGCACCUAGGAACGCUUGCUGGACCCUGCUGAUGCCAAUGUCCAGAGAUUGCGGCCAGGUGCCAGCCCACCCCCAAAAAAGAUUGUGAGACAGUAUAGCAUCAGAGUUAAAGGGAUUAUGGAAAAUCGCAACCCACAUCUGGCACCAGGCUUCACCCUCAACAACCUUGCCCCAGCACCAGCGAAUGUGGCUGCCUUCCAGGGUCUGCUGGGACCAGGUGGCUUCAAUAGUCUCUACCAAAUCUCCUAGCAGUGGAACCGCUUUUCCCUGUGUGGCCCGAGAACCUCCCGGACCCCACUCUGUUCCUGGGGAUUCACCUUUCCCACCAGAGCUCCGCCAGAUCUCUGAAUGUGCCAUGUAGUACCACCCAACCUCAUCCAUUACCACAUCUUGCCGGAGGCUGGUCAGGAUUUCCUGUUCUUCAGGGAUCUCUGGCCACCAGCAAAGCCAGUCAAAUAUGCUCUAAACCAGAGGCUCUCACAGUAUGGCCCCUGAACUGCUGCACUAGUAUAAUCUGGAAAUUUGUAGAAAUGCAAAUUUUCAGGCUGAGUCUCAGACCUACUGGAUUAGGAACACAGCAGGUGGGGCUCAGCAAUCUGCUUUCUUAAGGCCUCCAGAAAAUUCUGAUGUAAGCUCAAGUUUAAGAACUACUGGUUAAAAUAUAAAAAACUGUCUUCAAGGAUGCUAACUUUCAGUGUUUCAUACCAAAAUUUUCAUUUCUUGAGUUCCUAUUAGAGGUUGCUGAGUCUAAUGCCUAGUCCCUUGAUUCUUGUCUUUUUAUUUUGCGGUAUUUCUCUACCCACUUGUGGUAUGUGAAUCUCUUUUCUGCUCCCAAAAGAAUAAACAGAAUUUUUAUCCUUGUCUGCUAAGUGGAAGUACAAAAAGUUUUUCUAGUUUUUCUGGUCUUUUGUAUCUUGGUGUUGUCCUUAAAAUGAAUUCAAUUUCCUUACUGGUCUGAAGCACACACAAAAUUCUUAUUUGGGGGGAUUUGAUAUAUUGCAAAUGUCCCUUGGGUUCAUUUCAAUUGAAUUUAUAAUCAGGUUCUCUAAUACACUCAUGCUGGGGAGUGACUCUCUCAGCCUUUUGAAGUGAUGCUCCUUAAAUCUUCCUUGAAGGGAUCCUCUUAGAGAAGCCAUUUAUAUUUGAUCAUUCUUGUUCAUACUAUCUGGUAGUUUUCAUGAAACAUAAAACAGAAUCACCAGUGGUAUUGACUUCCUUUCAGUGUCCCCUUCCUUCCCUCUAUAUUACUGGAAAAUUUUAGCCCAAUAUUAUUAUAUUCUUCUUCUUAUAUUCUGUUUGUAAGACAUGUCAGAUAUAUUCUCCAUGUGUAUUACAGAUUUCUUUCUACAUUCAGUAAUGAGGAAAGGAUGGGCUGAAUGCAAUAGGAGGAUAGGUUUGUUAGUUGAAAGCUAAGGGAUUUCUGAUGGCUCUAAUUUUCCCUGUGGAGUAGGAAGUGAGGUCAUCCAUUGGCAACUGGGGCAGGAGGUAGUGGAGUGAAUUGGAGACAUGGAGAAAUACGGCCUGAUAGGUGGUUAAAAUAUGUAAAUAGUCCUAAGCCAUGCUGAGUCUCCAUUUGCUCUGUUUCUGUGCCCUACCUUUAUCCAGUACCUCCAGAUUGUUCCCAUGAUCCAGCAUUUAGAGGAUAGCUGUCUGGCACUGAGGCUACCUAUGACCUCUUUUCUGAUCAGUGUAUGGCCAUUUUUUACUGGUAGUUAAGUAUUUUGAAGAUUACCAUGUUUAGAGAUUUUAAUGAGAGAGGAAACAUUUGGCACUGAUGUUAUAUAGAGGGGGACAGUGAAAUGACCUCAGAAAUGCAGUACCAUUCCUGAAGGCUCUUUCACUGGUUCAAUUGCUGGUGGUCAUUGUGAAUGUAUGGUCUUCAUCAUUAUGGGAUUUCCUCAGGUUCAGGCAAGGAGAAAGCAGAUAGUUAAGUCCAUCAGGGGUUGGGGGUUUAGAAGAAGAGUUCAAUGAAAAGAUAAAGAGGCAGAAAAUAAUUCAUAUAUUAUAUCAAGAAAAGUUUGUGAAAAAAAUAAAAUGAAUAAAAUUAGGGUGUUCUUUCAAUGGAAGCUUGAAGAUGUCUAAAGUACUCUUCUAGGGGUUUUCUCAAUAGAUGAAUUAAAAAAAUUGUUUAAUGUUUAUUUUUUAAAGAGAGAGAGAGCGAGCAGGGGUGAGGCAGAGAGAGAGGAGACACAGAAUUCAAAGCGGGCUCCAGGCUUUGAGCUGUCAGCACAGAGCCCAACAAGGGGCUGGAACUCACUAAUAGCAAGAAGUCGGAUGAUUAACCAACUGAGCCAUCCAGGUGCCCCCAAUCCAUCAAUUUUUAUCAUUCCUUAUCUUUGAGCUACUUUACAACUUGGACAGUUGUAUAAAACUGAUGGUAAUGAAUAUUUUUUUGUCCAUAAAGCUGCAAACUAAUUUUGUUCAGUGGAGCUAUAAUUUGUGCUUAUCAUGUGGAUAUGUAUUAGUUUUGUAUCUUUUAGCAUAUUUAUUUCAGCAUUCUUGAUUGCCCACAUAUAUGUUUGUUCUUCGGAUUCUCCUUUGAAUUGACUUUAUAUAUC